This 335-nucleotide ribosomal RNA is filed under the name uncultured Planctomycetales bacterium. RNAcentral's name for it is "bacterial SSU rRNA". It matches the Rfam family "Bacterial small subunit ribosomal RNA", at positions 473 to 806 of the family's 1533-position model. Lineage: Bacteria; Pseudomonadati; Planctomycetota; Planctomycetia; Planctomycetales. The record is from RNAcentral.
CUAAGGCUCCAGAGGAAGCCACGGCUAACUCUGCGCCAGCAGCCGCGGUAAUACAGAGGCGGCAAGCGUUGUUCGGAAUUAUUGGGCGUAAAGAGCACGUAGGCGGCCUUGCAAGUCAGUUGUGAAAGCCUUCCGCUUAACGGAAGAAUGCCAGCUGAUACUACAGGGCUUGAGUACGGGAGGGGAGAGUGGAACUUCUGGUGGAGCGGUGAAAUGCGUAGAUAUCAGAAGGAACGCCGGCGGCGAAAGCGACUCUCUGGCCCGAAACUGACGCUGAGUGUGCGAAAGCUAGGGGAGCAAACGGGAUUAGAUACCCCGGUGGUCCUAGCCGUAAA